GUCUAUGACCAUACCACCCUGAAUGAACCUGAUUUCAUCUUAUCUCAUAAGCUAAGCAGGAUUGGGCCUGGUUAGUACUUGCAUGGGAGACCACCUGGGAAUAUGGAGUGCUAUAGACU
This 119-nucleotide ribosomal RNA is filed under the name Mus pahari (shrew mouse). Lineage: Eukaryota; Metazoa; Chordata; Mammalia; Rodentia; Muridae. The record is from RNAcentral.